Molecule: transfer RNA, 74 nt
Filed under: bacterium
Lineage: Bacteria
Also listed under: 2 other names
Description: tRNA-Lys
Rfam family: tRNA
About the family: Transfer RNA (tRNA) molecules are approximately 80 nucleotides in length. Their secondary structure includes four short double-helical elements and three loops (D, anti-codon, and T loops). Further hydrogen bonds mediate the characteristic L-shaped molecular structure. tRNAs have two regions of fundamental functional importance: the anti-codon, which is responsible for specific mRNA codon recognition, and the 3' end, to which the tRNAs corresponding amino acid is attached (by aminoacyl-tRNA synthetases). tRNAs cope with the degeneracy of the genetic code in two manners: having more than one tRNA (with a specific anti-codon) for a particular amino acid; and 'wobble' base-pairing, i.e. permitting non-standard base-pairing at the 3rd anti-codon position.
Source: RNAcentral
GCGCCGCUGGCUCAACCAGGUAGAGCAACGGACUCUUAAUCCGUGGGUUCUGGGUUCGAUUCCCAGGCGGCGUA